UCGGGAAUUUUGGGCAAUGGGCGAAAGCCUGACCCAGCAACGCCGCGUGAAGGAUGAAGUAUUUCGGUAUGUAAACUUCGAAAGAAUAGGAAGAAUAAAUGACGGUACUAUUUAUAAGGUCCGGCUAACUACGUGCCAGCAGCCGCGGUAAUACGUAGGGACCAAGCGUUGUUCGGAUUUACUGGGCGUAAAGGGCGCGUAGGCGGCAAUUCAAGUCAUCUGUGAAAUCUCCGGGCUUAACUCGGAACGGUCAGAUGAUACUGCUUUGCUAGAGUGCAGAAGGGGCAAUCGGAAUUCUUGGUGUAGCAGUGAAAUGCGUAGAUAUGUGGAGGAAUACCGAUGGCGAAGGCAGCCCCCUGGGAUAACACUGACGCUCAUGCACGAAAGCGUGGGGAGCAAACAGGAUUAGAUACCCACGUAGUCCCUGAGCGGGC
This 434-nucleotide ribosomal RNA is filed under the name uncultured bacterium. RNAcentral describes it as "bacterial SSU rRNA". It matches the Rfam family "Bacterial small subunit ribosomal RNA", at positions 355 to 804 of the family's 1533-position model. The record is from RNAcentral.